AUUUAGCUGACGAGUCCCAAAUGGGACGAGACGCGCAUUAUAGAU
Non-coding RNA from Schistosoma haematobium, 45 nucleotides. The record is from Rfam. Lineage: Eukaryota; Metazoa; Platyhelminthes; Trematoda; Strigeidida; Schistosomatidae.